This 87-nucleotide transfer RNA is filed under the name Chlamydiota bacterium. RNAcentral describes it as "Chlamydiae bacterium tRNA-Ser". It matches the Rfam family "tRNA". Rfam says of the family: Transfer RNA (tRNA) molecules are approximately 80 nucleotides in length. Their secondary structure includes four short double-helical elements and three loops (D, anti-codon, and T loops). Lineage: Bacteria; Pseudomonadati; Chlamydiota. The record is from RNAcentral.
GGCAGAGUGCCCGACUGGCCGAAGGAGCACGCUUGGAAAGCGUGUAUUAAUGAAAAUGUAUCGUGGGUUCGAAUCCCACCUUCUCCU